This 433-nucleotide ribosomal RNA is filed under the name uncultured bacterium. RNAcentral describes it as "partial 16S ribosomal RNA". It matches the Rfam family "Bacterial small subunit ribosomal RNA", at positions 29 to 507 of the family's 1533-position model. The record is from RNAcentral.
AACGAACGCUGGCGGCAUGCCUAACACAUGCAAGUCGAACGAGACCUUCGGGUCUAGUGGCGCACGGGUGCGUAACGCGUGGGAACCUGCCCUUAGGUUCGGAAUAACUCCCCGAAAGGGGUGCUAAUACCGGAUAAUGUCUUCGGACCAAAGAUUUAUCGCCUUUGGAUGGGCCCGCGUUGGAUUAGCUAGUUGGUAGGGUAAAAGACUACCAAGGCGACGAUCCAUAGCUGGUCUGAGAGGAUGAUCAGCCACACUGGGACUGAGACACGGCCCAGACUCCUACGGGAGGCAGCAGUGGGGAAUAUUGGACAAUGGGCGAAAGCCUGAUCCAGCAAUGCCGCGUGAGUGAUGAAGGCCUUAGGGUUGUAAAGCUCUUUUAACCGGGAUGAUAAUGACAGUACCGGGAGAAUAAGCGACGGCUAACUACGUG